AUGACUAGAGAUAACCUUAGAAAGAGGCACAUCAUUAAGCCUCUAGACUGUGCAUAUUGUGCAGAGAAUGAAACCAACUUCCACUUAUUCUUUGAGUGUAUAGUAGCCAGGAGUAUAUGGUCCUUUCUUGGUGAAUUCUUCCAAACACGGAUAGGCACAGAUUUUGAAUCUGUUGCACGUUUCUAGGUUUCUAACAAGAAAAACUCUGCAUUAAAUACCAUUAGUUUUGUUGUCCUGUGGUGUUUGUGGAAAUAUAGGAACUCUAUAAUUUUUAACAAUACCAUUUGGACUUCUAUUACCCAGAUUUGGGGCUUGAUUAUCAGAAUGCUCAAAUUCUGGGUUGUCCUAUCUCCGGAAGCAGGGAAAGCAAAGCUGGAGGAAUUCCUGAGCUCUCUGACAAGCUUCGUUCGGCAACCCCUGCGGAUCCUGAGUGGCUGA
Molecule: ribosomal RNA, 438 nt
Filed under: Triticum aestivum (bread wheat)
Lineage: Eukaryota; Viridiplantae; Streptophyta; Magnoliopsida; Poales; Poaceae
Description: partial small subunit ribosomal RNA
Source: RNAcentral